Molecule: ribosomal RNA, 1218 nt
Filed under: Triticum aestivum (bread wheat)
Lineage: Eukaryota; Viridiplantae; Streptophyta; Magnoliopsida; Poales; Poaceae
Description: partial small subunit ribosomal RNA
Source: RNAcentral
AUGGACGCAAAGGUAGAGGCGGCCGGCGACGACGCGGUCCCGGAGGCGCCGGAGCAGUCCAUCGUCCUCAUCUCCGCCGGCGCCAACCACUCCGUCGCACUGCUCUCGGGCCAGAUGGUGUGCUCCUGGGGCCGGGGCGAGGACGGGCAGCUCGGCCACGGAGACUCCGAGGACCGGCCGUGCCGACGGGGAGACUUCGGGAGGCUGGGACAUGGCAACUCGAGCGAUGUGUUCAACCCGCAGCCGGUAGUGGCCCUGCAGGGGAUGAAGAUCAAGCAGAUCGCAUGCGGUGACAGCCACUGCCUCGCCGUCACCGUCACCGGACAAGUGCAUAGCUGGGGGCGCAAUCAGAACGGGCAACUUGGUCUCGGAAACAAUGAAGACUCGCUGCUCCCGCAAAAGAUCAAGGCUUUUGAGGGUGUCUGCGUAAAAAUGAUCGCUGCUGGCGCCGAGCAUACUACGGCCAUAACAGAAGAUGGCCAUCUCUACGGAUGGGGCUGGGGUCGAUAUGGCAACCUAGGUCUCAGCGACCGCGACGACCGAUCAGUCCCGGAAAAGGUUUCUUCCGUUGAGGGAGAAAAGAUGGCGCUUGUUGCAUGUGGGUGGCGCCACUCGGUCACUGUGUCGUCGUCUGGUGGUCUGUACACCUACGGGUGGAGCAAGUAUGGCCAGCUAGGCCAUGGUGAUUUCGAGGACCAUCUGGUUCCACGCAAGCUCGAGGCCCUCAAAGACGUUUCCAUUUCUCAGAUUGCAGGUGGGUGGAGGCAUACAAUGGCAGUCGCUUCAGAUGGGAAACUCUACGGAUGGGGGUGGAACAAGUUUGGCCAAGUUGGUGUCGGCGAUAACAUAGAUCACUGUUCCCCCGUGGAGGUGAAUUUCCCCGACGAACAGAAAAUUGCACAGGUUGCCUGUGGAUGGAGGCAUACUCUUGCCCUGACAGAAAACAAGAAUGUUUUCUCAUGGGGUAGGGUUGCCAGUGGACAGCUUGGUCAUGGUGAAAUAAUCGACAGGAACACACCCAAGAUGAUCGAUGCCCUGAGCCUGGACGGGUCUGCUUGCAAGCAGCUGGAGUCAUCAAACGCUGUUCCAAUGAUAGCUAAAGUCUGGGUCCCUCCUUCGAAGCGAUUCGCCAUCGUCCCCGAGGAGAAUGUUAGUAAACCAGGCAAUGGAACCGACAAGCACGCGCCUGAAGGCGAUGCCAAGAGGAUGCGCGUCUGA